This 433-nucleotide ribosomal RNA is filed under the name uncultured bacterium. RNAcentral's name for it is "partial 16S ribosomal RNA". It matches the Rfam family "Bacterial small subunit ribosomal RNA", at positions 29 to 507 of the family's 1533-position model. The record is from RNAcentral.
AACGAACGCUGGCGGCAUGCCUAACACAUGCAAGUCGAACGAGACCUUCGGGUCUAGUGGCGCACGGGUGCGUAACGCGUGGGAACCUGCCCUUAGGUUCGGAAUAACUCCCCGAAAGGGGUGCUAAUACCGGAUAAUGUCUUCGGACCAAAGAUUUAUCGCCUUUGGAUGGGCCCGCGUUGGAUUAGCUAGUUGGUAGGGUAAAAGCCUACCAAGGCGACGAUCCAUAGCUGGUCUGAGAGGAAGAUCAGCCACACUGGGACUGAGACACGGCCCAGACUCCUACGCGAGGCAGCAGUGGGGAAUAUUGGACAAUGGGCGAAAGCCUGAUCCAGCAAUGCCGCGUGAGUGAUGAAGGCCUUAGGGUUGUAAAGCUCUUUUACCCGGGAUGAUAAUGACAGUACCGGGAGAAUAAGCUCCGGCUAACUCCGUG